This 451-nucleotide ribosomal RNA is filed under the name uncultured bacterium. Its description in RNAcentral is "bacterial SSU rRNA". It matches the Rfam family "Bacterial small subunit ribosomal RNA", at positions 28 to 505 of the family's 1533-position model. The record is from RNAcentral.
GGUGAACGCUAGCGGUGCGCCUAACACAUGCAAGUCGAGCGGUAGAAUUUUUUUAGCUUGCUAGAAAAAUUUGAGAGCGGCGAACGGGUGAGUAACACGUUGGUAUCUGCCCCCAAGUCAGGGAUAGCCAUUGGAAACGAUGAUUAAUACCGGAUAGUCUCUACGGAGUAAAAAUUUAUUGCUUGGGGAGGAGCCUGCGUUCUAUCAGCUUGUUGGUAGUGUAAAAGACUACCAAGGCUAUGACGGAUAACUGGUCUGAGAGGAUGAUCAGUCACAAUGAAACUGAGACACGGUUCAUACUCCUACGGGAGGCAGCAGUGAGGAAUCUUCCACAAUGGGCGAAAGCCUGAUGGAGCGACACCGCGUGAAGGAUGAAGGUCUAACGAUUGUAAACUUCUUUUCUGAGGGAGCAUAAUGAGAGUACCUCAGGAAUAAGGGACGGCUAAUUACG